GUAGUCUCGCACAGAUGCAUAUCAAUAAGCGGAGGAAAAGAAACUAACAAGGAUUCCCUCAGUAACGGCGAGUGAAGCGAGAAGAGCUCAAAUUUGAAAUCUUGAAAGGUCACCUUUCACGAAUUGUAGUUUAAAGAAGUGUUUUCUGUUACGAUCGUAAUAUAAGUUCUUUGGAAUAGGACAUCACAGAGGGUGAGAAUCCCGUCUAUGAUUGCGAUUUGUAGCUUUGUGAUACACUUUCAAAGAGUCGGGUUGUUUGGGAAUGCAGCCCAAAACGGGAGGUAAAUUUCUUCUAAGGCUAAAUAUUGGCGAGAGACCGAUAGCGAACAAGUACCGUGAGGGAAAGAUGAAAAGAACUUUGAAAAGAGAGUUAAAUAGUACGUGAAAUUGUCAAAAGGGAAGCGUUUAACACCAGUGUUGUUUUCUGAAAAUCAACCUCUGUUAGCUUUAUGCAUGUUUGUUUAGACCUAAUCAGCUAUCUUGCAUGUUCUAUUGUUUGCAGUGGUGCACUUUUCAGUUUACAGGUCAACAUCAGUUUUUUUUACCGUAAAAAAGUUAAAGAAAGGUAGCUCAUGGCUCCGGUCGUGAGUGUUAUAGUCUUUUUCCUAUGCGGUAGGAGAGACUGAGGUCUGCAGUGUAGGCUAUUUGGCUAGAUACUCAGGUGCUAUGUGAUACCAUUUCAUAAACAACUUGUUGAUUAUGUUUUGUCUAUUGCAUACUCGCUUGUACUAUCAUACCUACGCUUAGGAUGUUGAAGAUGUAGCACAUCAU
Molecule: ribosomal RNA, 771 nt
Filed under: uncultured Neocallimastigales
Lineage: Eukaryota; Fungi; Neocallimastigomycota; Neocallimastigomycetes; Neocallimastigales
Description: partial large subunit ribosomal RNA
Rfam family: Eukaryotic large subunit ribosomal RNA
Source: RNAcentral